Molecule: small nucleolar RNA, 131 nt
Organism: Mastomys coucha (southern multimammate mouse)
Lineage: Eukaryota; Metazoa; Chordata; Mammalia; Rodentia; Muridae
Product: U8 small nucleolar RNA
Exons: 1
Source: RefSeq, a predicted model, not a curated record
UCCUCAGCUACUUGAAUCCUUACCUGUCCCUCCUUACAGAAGGCAGAUAAAAAAAAUGGAGUUCCCAUGACAUUGGGAUCAGCAUCUCUGGAUAGCCAGGGCUCACAGCAUCCUCCUUUCUCCUUUCUGUG